CACGUAGGGGGCGAGCGUUGUCCUGAUUUAUUGGGCGUAAAGAGCUCGUAGGCGGCUCAGUAAGUCAGGUGUGAAAACUCCAGGCUCAACCUGGAGACGCCACCUGAUACUGCUGUGGCUAGAGUCCGGUAGGGGAGCAUGGAAUUCCUGGUGUAGCGGUGAAAUGCGUAGAUAUCUGGAGGAACACCGGUGGCGAAGGCGGCGUUCUGGACUGCAACUGACACUGAGAAACGAAAGCCAGGGGAGCAAACGGG
RNAcentral lists this ribosomal RNA (254 nucleotides) under uncultured bacterium. Its description in RNAcentral is "partial 16S ribosomal RNA". It matches the Rfam family "Bacterial small subunit ribosomal RNA", at positions 524 to 776 of the family's 1533-position model. The record is from RNAcentral.